This 502-nucleotide ribosomal RNA is filed under the name uncultured bacterium. Its description in RNAcentral is "partial 16S ribosomal RNA". It matches the Rfam family "Bacterial small subunit ribosomal RNA", at positions 28 to 507 of the family's 1533-position model. The record is from RNAcentral.
GACGAACGCUGGCGGCGUGCCUAAUACAUGCAAGUCGAACGAACCGCGACUAGGUGCUUGCACUUGGUCAAGGUGAGUGGCGAACGGGUGAGUAACACGUGGGUAACCUACCUCAUAGUGGGGGAUAACAGUCGGAAACGACUGCUAAUACCGCAUAGGACAUAGGAUCACAUGAUUCUGUGAGGAAAGGUGGCGCAAGCUAUCUCUAAGAGAUGGACCCGCGGUGCAUUAGCUAGUUGGUAGGGUAAAGGCCUACCAAGGCGAUGAUGCAUAGCCGACCUGAGAGGGUGAUCGGCCACAUUGGGACUGAGACACGGCCCAAACUCCUACGGGAGGCAGCAGUAGGGAAUCUUCCGCAAUGGACGCAAGUCUGACGGAGCAACGCCGCGUGAGUGAAGAAGGUCUUCGGAUCGUAAAGCUCUGUUGUUAGAGAAGAACAGCGCAUAGAGUAACUGUUAUGCGUGUGACGGUAUCUAACCAGAAAGCCACGGCUAACUACGUG